Molecule: transfer RNA, 86 nt
Filed under: bacterium
Lineage: Bacteria
Description: tRNA-Leu
Rfam family: tRNA
About the family: Transfer RNA (tRNA) molecules are approximately 80 nucleotides in length. Their secondary structure includes four short double-helical elements and three loops (D, anti-codon, and T loops).
Source: RNAcentral
GCCGCGGUGGUGAAAUGGUAUACACGCACGGUUCAGAGCCGUGUGGGGGCAACCCCAUGGGAGUUCAAGUCUCCCCCGCGGCACCA